UUUAUUUAUUCUCCUUAUGGGUGAGUUUCAACUAAAUUUCAAUUUGCAUGUCAUUACUCAAUUAUCUUGCUGUCUCUAAUUUUUUUGAUGUAAGAAAUAGAGCUGACAAGAUAAUUUUAUUUCCAUGUGCAUGUCAUUACUUAAUUAACUUGUCAACUCUACUGAAACCUAACUACAGCCCACACCUCAUUUACUUAAUUAACUUGUCAACUCUACUGAAACCUUACUACAGCCCACACCUCAUUCUUUUGGCAUAGAUUCAGCCACGCCACCCUUGCACCUCAAUUUUUGCAACCUACUGGAUGCCUGAUUGAAACCCAUACUCAUCUUUCCUAUUCAUUGGAUAGAUGAAGUUUCAUUCAGAAGCACUCCCCUAUCUUUAUUAGUGAUAAUUGAACCAGGUGACCCAUACUUAUCCCACUACCUUGGAUGUAUUCUGCUGUCCUUCCCCUUCCCAAGAUCACAAUAGUCAACCGGAGGCACCCAAACGCCCCUUGCAAAUGGUUGAUCAUCAGCCCACAGCUUCUUCUUAAGUUGUGUACAAUCUCUUUCUCUACUCUCCAACUCUCUCCAUCUUCAGUCAUGCCUGAUCUCACUCUUCUCUCUCUCCAUCUUUUGUUGUGCCAAUCUCUC
This 633-nucleotide long non-coding RNA is filed under the name Amborella trichopoda. Its description in RNAcentral is "long non-coding RNA (ATRI_LNC002621)". Lineage: Eukaryota; Viridiplantae; Streptophyta; Magnoliopsida; Amborellales; Amborellaceae. The record is from RNAcentral.